RNAcentral lists this ribosomal RNA (305 nucleotides) under uncultured bacterium. RNAcentral describes it as "bacterial SSU rRNA". It matches the Rfam family "Bacterial small subunit ribosomal RNA", at positions 337 to 639 of the family's 1533-position model. The record is from RNAcentral.
ACCUACGGGGCGCAGCAGUGAGGAAUAUUGGUCAAUGGCCGAGAGGCUGAACCAGCCAAGUCGCGUGAGGGAUGACGGCCCUACGGGUUGUAAACCUCUUUUGUCGGGGAGCAAGACCCGCCUCGUGCAGGCGGAGCGAGAGUACCCGAAGAAAAAGCAUCGGCUAACUCCGUGCCAGCAGCCGCGGUAAUACGGAGGAUGCGAGCGUUAUCCGGAUUUAUUGGAUUUAAAGGGUGCGUAGGCGGACGGUCAAGUCAGCGGUAAAAAUGCGGUGCUCAACGCCGUCCAGCCGUUGAAACUGGCAG